AGUGAACGCUGGCGGUAGGCCUAACACAUGCAAGUCGAACGGCAGCACAGUAAGAGCUUGCUCUUACGGGUGGCGAGUGGCGGACGGGUGAGGAAUACAUCGGAAUCUACUUUUUCGUGGGGGAUAACGUAGGGAAACUUACGCUAAUACCGCAUACGACCUACGGGUGAAAGCAGGGGAUCUUCGGACCUUGCGCGAUUGAAUGAGCCGAUGUCGGAUUAGCUAGUUGGCGGGGGAAAGGCCCACCAAGGCGACGAGCCGUAGCUGGUCUGAGAGGAUGGAGAGAAGCAGUGGGAGUGAGGAAGGGGCCAGAAGACUACGGAAGGGAGCAGUGGGGAAGGUUGGACAAGGGGGGAAAGUUGUAUCAAGCAAUGGAGAGGGUGGGAAGAAGGCAGUCGGGUGGUAAAGUACUUGGACGCGGAAAGAAAUGUCGGCGGUGAAUAAGUGGGGGCGAGGACGGUACAGGAAGAAUAAGGAACGGCUAACUACGUG
RNAcentral lists this ribosomal RNA (492 nucleotides) under uncultured bacterium. RNAcentral describes it as "partial 16S ribosomal RNA". It matches the Rfam family "Bacterial small subunit ribosomal RNA", at positions 30 to 507 of the family's 1533-position model. The record is from RNAcentral.